RNAcentral lists this ribosomal RNA (1339 nucleotides) under seawater metagenome. RNAcentral describes it as "bacterial LSU rRNA". It matches the Rfam family "Bacterial large subunit ribosomal RNA", at positions 641 to 1977 of the family's 2925-position model. The record is from RNAcentral.
CAAGGUUAAAUAUUUAAGAUAUGGAGCCGUAGCGAAAGCGAGUCUGAAUAGGGCGCUUUAGUUAGUAGUAGUAGACGCGAAACCGGGUGAUCUACCCAUGGGCAGGUUGAAGCUGUGGUAACACAUAGUGGAGGACCGAACCAGUUGACGUUGAAAAGUCUUUGGAUGACCUGUGGGUAGGGGUGAAAGGCCAAUCAAACCCGGAAAUAGCUCGUACUCCCCGAAAUGCAUUUAGGUGCAGCGUUGAGCAAAAGUUUUAUAGAGGUAGAGCUACUGAUUGGAUGCGGGGGCUUCACCGCCUACCAAUUCCUGACAAACUCCGAAUGCUAUAAAAUGUUUCUCAGCAGUGAGGGCAUGGGUGCUAAGGUCCAUGUCCGAGAGGGAAAGAACCCAGACCAUCAGCUAAGGUCCCCAAAUAUAUGUUAAGUUGAAAAAACGAGGUUUGUCUGCCCAGACAGCUAGGAUGUUGGCUUGGAAGCAGCCAUUCAUUUAAAGAGUGCGUAACAGCUCACUAGUCGAGCGGACGAGCAUGGAUAAUAAUCGGGCAUAAACAUAUUACCGAAGCUAUGGAUUAACGUUGAAAGACACGUUAGUGGUAGGGGAGCAUUGUAACCUGCGUAGAAGGUGUGCUGUGAGGCAUGCUGGAGUGGUUACAAAAGAAAAUGUAGGCAUAAGUAACGAUAAUGGGGGCGAGAAACCCCCACACCGAAAGACUAAGGUUUCCUCAGCGAUGCUAAUCAGCUGAGGGUUAGUCGGGUCCUAAGGCGAAUCCGAAGGGAGUAGUCGAUGGAUAACAGGUUAAUAUUCCUGUACUUCUUAUAAUUGCGAUGGGGUGACGGAGUAUUGAAAGCACCGCGAACUGACGGAAUAGUUCGUUGAAGACUGUAUCUAUAAGAUCUGUAGGCAAAUCCGCAGAUUUUGGAGAAGGUUGAUAGUACUACAAAGCUUCGGCUGCGUAGAUAGUGUGCCUAAAAGCUUCCAAGAAAAACCUCUAAGCUUCAGAUUAUAAGAACCCGUACCGUAAACCGACACAGGUAGUUGGGAUGAGAAUUCUAAGGUGCUCGAGAGAUUCAUGGCUAAGGAACUAGGCAAAAUAGACCCGUAACUUCGGGAGAAGGGUCGCCCAUCUUCGGAUGGGCCGCAGUGAAAAGGUCCAGGCGACUGUUUAUCAAAAACACAGGGCUUUGCUAAAUUGAAAGAUGAUGUAUAAGGCCUGACACCUGCCCGGUGCUGGAAGGUUAAGUGGAGUUGUUAGCUUCGGCGAAGCAGUGAAAUGAAGCCCCAGUAAACGGCGGCCGUAACUAUAACGGUCCUAAGGUAGCGAAAUUCCUUGUCGGGU